AAAGGUCUUCGGGGCAAGGUGAAAUUCCUUACCGGCAGUAAAGUCUGCGAGCGGAGCCGAAGCGGAGAGUUUCGGCGCGUUGAACCGGUGUGAUUCCGGUACCGACGGUUAGAGUCCGGAGGAGAGAAGAUUUUG
Molecule: non-coding RNA, 135 nt
Filed under: Hungateiclostridiaceae bacterium KB18
Lineage: Bacteria; Bacillati; Bacillota; Clostridia; Eubacteriales; Oscillospiraceae
Also listed under: 1 other name
Description: Ruminiclostridium sp. KB18 FMN riboswitch aptamer (RFN element)
Rfam family: FMN riboswitch aptamer (RFN element)
About the family: The RFN element is a highly conserved domain that is found frequently in the 5'-untranslated regions of prokaryotic mRNAs that encode for flavin mononucleotide (FMN) biosynthesis and transport proteins. This element is a metabolite-dependent riboswitch that directly binds FMN in the absence of proteins. In Bacillus subtilis, the riboswitch most likely controls gene expression by causing premature transcription termination within the 5' untranslated region of the ribDEAHT operon and precluding access to the ribosome-binding site of ypaA mRNA.
Source: Rfam by way of RNAcentral